CAGGUGUGAACAGGUGUGAACAGGUGUGUGCAGGUGAGCAACGACAGGUGUGUGCAGGUGUGAACAGGUGUGUGCAGGUGAGGCCCGACAGGUGUGUGCAGGUGUGCACAGGUGUGUGCGGGGGAGCCCCACAGGUGUGCACAGGUGAGGGG
This is a long non-coding RNA of Poecile atricapillus (Black-capped chickadee), 152 nucleotides long. RefSeq lists it as uncharacterized. The record is from RefSeq and is a predicted model, not a curated record. The transcript has 3 exons. Lineage: Eukaryota; Metazoa; Chordata; Aves; Passeriformes; Paridae.